GAUAAUUGAAUUCUACAUGGAUAACCGUAGUAAUUCUAGAGCUAAUACAUGCGAUUAAACCUGACUCUUGGAAAGGUUGUAUUUAUUAGAUAUCAAACCAGUAGUCUUUCGGGAUUAUUGUGAUGAUUCAUAAUAACUGAUCGGAUCAAGGAGUUCCUUGAUAGAUCAUUCAAGUUUCUGCCCUAUCAGCUUUCGAUGGUAGUGUAUUGGACUACCAUGGCAGUCACGGUUAACGGAGAAUUAGGGUUCGAUUCCGGAGAGGGAGCCUGAGAAACGGCUACCACAUCUACGGAAGGCAGCAGGCGCGUAAAUUACCCAAUCCUGAUUCAGGGAGGUAGUGACAAGAAAUAACAACUCGGGCAUUUUUAAUGCUUCGAAUUUGCAAUGGGAACAAUCUAAAUCACUUAUCGAGGAACAAUUGGAGGGCAAGUCUGGUGCCAGCAGCCGCGGUAAUUCCAGCUCCAAUAGCGUAUAUUAAAGUUGUUGCA
This 488-nucleotide ribosomal RNA is filed under the name uncultured eukaryote. Its description in RNAcentral is "SSU rRNA". It matches the Rfam family "Eukaryotic small subunit ribosomal RNA", at positions 123 to 617 of the family's 1831-position model. The record is from RNAcentral.